Molecule: transfer RNA, 73 nt
Filed under: Nippostrongylus brasiliensis
Lineage: Eukaryota; Metazoa; Nematoda; Chromadorea; Rhabditida; Heligmosomidae
Rfam family: tRNA
About the family: Transfer RNA (tRNA) molecules are approximately 80 nucleotides in length. Their secondary structure includes four short double-helical elements and three loops (D, anti-codon, and T loops). Further hydrogen bonds mediate the characteristic L-shaped molecular structure. tRNAs have two regions of fundamental functional importance: the anti-codon, which is responsible for specific mRNA codon recognition, and the 3' end, to which the tRNAs corresponding amino acid is attached (by aminoacyl-tRNA synthetases). tRNAs cope with the degeneracy of the genetic code in two manners: having more than one tRNA (with a specific anti-codon) for a particular amino acid; and 'wobble' base-pairing, i.e. permitting non-standard base-pairing at the 3rd anti-codon position.
Source: Rfam by way of RNAcentral
GUUUUAGUAGCAUAGUGGCUAAUGCACGGCACUGGUUAGACACGAAACCCGGGUUCAAAUCCCGCCUGAGAUG